AUGCCCGAUUCCGCGCCCGCCAUGGCCGACAAAAUGGACGUGUCACUGGACGACAUCAUUAAACUGAACCGGAGCCAGGGAGGAGGCCGCGGCGGGGUCUGCUCCCAGGGCGGCCGCGGCGGAGGGGCGCAGGCCGCCGCGCGAGUGAAUCGAGGCGACGGGCCCAUCCGGAACGGCCGGCCAUCGCCCGCCGCGCGGCCGGCGGAGGCGGCAGGAACCGACCCGCGCCCUGCAGCUGGCCAAAACAGCUUCCCGACAAGUGGGAGCACGAUCUUUUCGACGGUGGCUUUGCGGGUGGUGGUCGCGUGGAGUCGGGUGGGAAACUGCUGGUGUCCAAUCUGGAUUUUGGAGUGUCAGACACCGAUAUUCAGGAACGCUUGGCUGACUUUGGAACACUGAAGAAGGCAGCUGUGCACUACGACCGCCCUGGCCGCAGCUUAGGACCAGCAGAUGUACACUUUGAGCGGAAGGCAGUCGCCCUGAGAGCCAUGAAGCAGUAUAACGGUGUCCCUCUGGAUGGCCGCCCCAUGAACAGUCAGCUUGUCACAUCGCAGAUCAGUACACAGCGGAGACCUGCACAGAGCGUAAACAGAGGCGGCAUGACUAGAAACCGUGGCGCUGGAGGCUUUGGUGGUGGCGGAGGCACCCGGAGAGGCACCCGUGGAGGCGCCCGGGGAAGAGGCAGAGGCGCCGGCAGGAAUUCAAAGCAGCAGCUUUCGGCAGAGGAGCUGGACGCCCAGCUGGACGCCUAUAAUGCGAGAAUGGACACCAGUUAAACAGACCGGCAAAUCCGUGUGGACAGGACCCAAGCGUCUCCUCUUGCUCCCUGGUUGGGGAGCGGUGGCUGGGGCUGUGCGGCCAAUAAUGGAUUUGUUUCUCUUAUGUUUUAAAAUAGGGUUUAAAAACUCCUGUAAAGGCUUUUUUCUUUCUUUCUUUUUUUUUUUUUUAAAACAGGUCUGAAACAGACCUGUUAUUUUUGGGAUAAAUUUUACUGGUUGCUGUUGUGGAGAAGGCAACAUUUCCACCUUUUCCAUAAUAAAAUAGAAAUGUGUGUAGAAA
Molecule: RNA transcript, 1059 nt
Organism: Sapajus apella (tufted capuchin)
Lineage: Eukaryota; Metazoa; Chordata; Mammalia; Primates; Cebidae
Gene name: THO complex subunit 4 pseudogene
Exons: 1
Source: RefSeq, a predicted model, not a curated record